AGAGCUGCGCCCGCCUGGGGCAACUCCGAGUCCAGGAGAACCCCAAGAGCGGCGCUUUGGCCCCGGCCCCCGCGCCCUCUCCGAAGAAAGGAGAGUCAGGGACGGAGGGAGGCCGGGAGGCUGAACCCCGGGCCCGCCGUCGAACCGCCGGCCCUCCGACACCAUCUGGACCCCGGCGGGGACAGCCGCCUGGAAGGGGAGGAAGGCCAGGGACGUGGAAGAGAUGGGGCUCUAAAGGCGCCGGGACGGAGCUGGCUCCCCAGAGGCGCCCACCCUGCCAGCGAAGGCCGCCAUCGGAGGUGGGCAAACCAGGGACCUGGGGUGGACCAGGACCCCGGGCCUGCUGAGCAACCCGUUUGCUGAGCAGGAGGCGAUUUGCAGGCCUCUUGCCUCCUUAGGCCUUGGGAGAUUUCCUUUCACUGAAAGGGCCAGAUCCUGGCGAUGGUGACAGGAACGGUACCCCGCACGGUAAGGGUCAGGCAGGAAGGGCCUCCCACCGCGGCGUGGCUGCCGCCGUUCUAAGAAGAGACCAUGAAAAAUAAGGAAGAAGGCUAGAGAAAAAGAGGUCUUAGGGAAAUUUUUUUUUUUAACAAGUGGUGCAAUGUACCAGACUAGGGUGGGAAGAGUGAAGGCUGAAGAAGGUCUGGUGUUCUGCAGAUCGCAUGGCGGUUCUUUUCCACCAGUGGACCUCACUGGGGCCUCCUCUGCAGCUCUCAGGUGCAGCCCUUCCUCUACAUUCCCGCCGCCUUCAUUCCUGUCUACCCCUGGUCACCUUACCCCGGACUCCAGCAACAGCCCGCUCUCCCCAACCCUCCCCGGGAGCCUCCUCACUGCUGCCAGAGUAAUGGCCUGAAACACUGCCCUCAUCCUCCACACGUGUCUCUGCUGUACUCUGACGCGUGAUAUUCUUACCUGUCCAAACUUUCCUUCUACUGAUAUUUCACACAAACUUCCCUGCCCCUUCUUCCCUUCCCCAGGAGCAAUGACAGAACACAGACACAAAGGCGCAUCAUGCCUAUUCAAUUCCUAUUCUGUCCACCGCAUUUGCAGGGCCUCCCUGCCACCCACCCCCAUCCUGAAACUGUUCUGCUUCUAUACAGUUUGUGGACGUUGUGCCUAUAGAUCCCACAGUCAGGAUGAGUGGCAUGCAGGUUGAGUCCUGGCUUCCCAGAGGAUUGGCUGUGUGGCCUUGGUCAAAUGACAUAACCUCUCAGAGCUUCGGUUUUCUCUUAAGAUAUGGAUUUAGCAGAUCUAUUGUAGAGAUAAACACAUUGUGUCUACAGUAGUAUUUUAAAAUAUUUUCUACUUCUUCCCCUCCCCUGCGAUGUGGUAGAAAUCCACUACCCCAUCCUCUUGAAGUUAGAUGAGACCAUCGGACUUGCUUAGGCCAAUGGAAUGAGAGCAGAAGUGAUUGUGUUGCUUUCACUUGGAACCUUUAGGAGCCAGUGAGCAAAUCCCCAUGUCUUCUUUUUCCUAUCUUGACAAUCAUGGUGGUACAAAGUUGGAGCCUCCCCAAGCCAGCCUGAGUCUCUGUGUAAAGAUGGCAGAAAAUCCCAGCCAAUCUGCAUUGGAAAAGUAGUGUCAGCAAAUAUUAAACUUUAUUUAUGUUAAGUCAGUGGGAUUUGUUAAAGCAGCAUAACCUGGCUUAUUCUGGCUGAUAGUGUUACUCCCAGAUAUGUGGGACUUCAUCAGUAUCUAUUGAAUCAACAGCAUCAUCUACCAUAGGCUGGUACUGUUUUAUGACAGUAAACCCUCCUCUGUAAAGUAGCUGUUUACAAUCCCUAUUUUCAAUUGAAGAAACCGUAUCAGAAAGGUUAAGUAAUUUCCCAGAGGUUACACAGUUUGUAAAUGGCAGGACCAGGAUUUAAACCCUACCUGUCCAGUUCCAAAGCUCCCCCUUCUCCUUUCAUAUAUGCCAUGCUCCGUCUCCUUAAAUGGGAAGGAUGAAAAACACCCAGUACAAUGCCUAGCACACAGUCAUGCCCAGGCACUGGGAGUUCCUCUCCAGACUGAAUUCCUACCACGUUUAUAAUUGGAACCACACUUCAGCACAAUGCUAUCAGGCAUUGUGUGUGAAUGUUUUCACAUCGAUAAAGCAUUUUCUCCAACAAGAGCCCAGGCUCCUUGAUUAAGAGCUUCAGAUCUAGAGGCAGAGUGACUAGGUUCAAAUCCCUGUUCCACCUCUUAUGAUCAUCUUGGAUAAUUGUUUUCCCCCUCUAUGCCUCAGUUCUCUAAUCUGCAAAGUGGCGAUGGUAACUUUCAUGUGCGUCUGUGUGAAGAGACCACCAAACAGGCUUUGUGUGAGCAAUAAAGCUUUUAAUCACCUGGGUGCAGGCGGGCUGAGUCCAAAAAGAGAGUCAGCAAAGGGAGAUAGGGGUGGGGCCGUUUUAUAAGAUUUGGGUAGGUAAAGGAAAAUUACAGUCAAAGAAAGGGGGGUUGUUCUCUGGCGGGCAGGGGUGGGGGUCGUGAGGUGCUCAGUGGGGGAGCUUUUUGAGCCAGGAUGAGCCAGGAAGAGCCAGGAAAAGGACUUUCACAAGGUAAUGUCAUCACUUAAGGCAAGGGCCGGCCAUUUUCACUUCUUUUGUGGUGGAAUGUCAUCAGUUAAGGCAGGGCAGGGCAUUUUCACUUCUUUUCUGAUUCUUCAGUUACUUCAGGCCAUCUGGGCGUAUACGUGCAAGUCACAGGGGAUGCGAUGGCUUGGCUUGGGCACAGAGGCCUGACAGUAACAAUGUAUGUGGUAUUAGCAAUUACGCCAAUAACACAUCCCACAGGGUUGGUAUGAGGAUUAAGGGCUAGACUAUAUCCACUCAAUAAAUCGUGGAUAUUAAUACGAUACUUUUCAUCUUCCAUAGCUCCUACUAGAAUUUGGAGCCUUUUUUUUUUUGCGAUGGAAUUUCACUCUUGUCACCCAGGCUGGAGUGCAAUGGCACGAUCUUGGCUCACUGCAACCUCCGCCUCCCUAGUUCAAGCAAUUCCCCUGCCUCAGCCUCCCAAGUACCUGGAAUUACAGGCAUGUGCCACCACGCCCAGCUAAUUUUUUUGUAUUUUCAAUAGAGACGAGGUUUCACCAUGUCGGUCAGGCUGGUCUCAAACUCCUGACCACAGGUGACCCACCUGCCUAGGCCUCCCAAAGUGCUGGGAUUACAGGAAUGAGCCACCGUGCCUGGCCUGGGGCAAUUUUAAGCAGUUUAAUCAUACUGCUUGGUUAGACUCUGAUUUCUGGUUUUGUUCUUGGAUACAGGACAGAUGUAGUAACAUUGGCACUUGAAAGUGUGACAUCCACACUAUCCUACAUCUUUUAUUUACAUAAGGCUCAUUACUGGUCCUUCACUGCACUUUCUAUUUUCAAAGCAAUUUAAAAGAAAGAAGGUAUGUUCGCUUUCUCAAGAAAUCGUUGUUCAGGAAUCCUGUCAUUCAGGCAGCAUAGAUGAGCUUGGAGGACAUUAUGUUGAGUGAAAUAAGCCAGGCACAGCAAGACAAAUACCACAUGUUCUCACUCAUAUGUGGAAGCUAAAAAAGUUAAUCUCAUUGAAGUAGAGAGUAGAAUUGUGGUUACUAGAGGUUGGGGGAGGGGACAGGGAUAGCCAAAGGUUGGUUAGCGAGCACAAAAUUACAACUAGAUAAGACAAAUAAGUGCUCAUCUUUGAUAGCACUGCAGGGUGACUAUAAUUAAUAAUUUAAUUGGGAGGAUACAAUAAAUUAGUAAUUUAUAUUGUGUAUUUAAGAACAUACAGUAGAAUAUUAUAUUGUAUAUAUUCAUUAUUGAUUGUAUAUAUUUAUUUAUUGUAUGUUUAUAAUUUAUUGUAUAUAAAUUAUAUACAAUAUAUUGUCUAUAUUAAUAAUUUAUUUUAUAUAUUCAGAUAGCUAGAAGAGCAGAUUUUGAAUGUUCCCAACACAACAAAAUGAUAUAUGUUUGCUAUGUGAAUAACCCUGAUUUGAUCAUUACACGUUGUAUGCAUGUAUCGAAAUAUCACACUGUGCCCCAUAAAUAUGUACAAU
This 3999-nucleotide long non-coding RNA is filed under the name Homo sapiens (human). RNAcentral describes it as "non-protein coding lnc-TCP11L2-4:3". The record is from RNAcentral. Lineage: Eukaryota; Metazoa; Chordata; Mammalia; Primates; Hominidae.